GAGAGACUCUCAUCUGGACAGAUGUCGUCAUCUUGUUUAGUAUAAUUAUGAAAGGGUUGUCCCAUCAGCGUGGCUGUGUCCUAUUGGUAAUCCCGUCACACUCUAAGGGUGAAGACUGCACGAAGUCAUGAACACCAGAAGGCAGGAAUGAUGGAAGCUCUCCAAGAGUCUCUCCUGAAUAAUCUCACUGCACAUCUUGAUCAAGACCAGGAGCGAGGAUACACAGCCAGUGCUUCAUGAGUGGACUGAAGAGAAAAGGCAUCCAGCUGCACGGAGUGGGGAUGGGAUUGAGGCACUAACACCCACUUCAGGGGCACCAGGUGUCACUAAUAAUUAAGAUUAUCUGUGGUAUAAAUCCGGCUGUUUCGGAGCGUUCCCUACAACCACUUUGGGAUCCAGCGUUCCGGCGUCCGGGUCUCGAAAUGUGAUGUCACAGAGGAGCUGAGGAGCUGUCUUCCUCAAACCUUACCUGGAGAAGGUUGUGUUGUAUAUAUAGCAAAUUCUACUUUGAUCCAAGCACAAAGGAAAAGUGAUUUCUUUCUCAUCCUUAACUGGGAGCCAUCUGGAUGGAGGACGAAGGGCGUGAGGAGGAAAGCUGCACUCCUUCCCCAUGGUGUUUGGAGCCCAUUACCCUGAGGCCUGCAAGAGCAGCCCCAAUGUGUCACUUGCCUCCCACACAUCCCCACAUGGUUUCCUUCACUCUCCAAAGCAGACAGCUUUCAUUUUCUUUUCCAAAAAAAUGAAGUUUUAAAGGUCAACUACAUGGAGCGACUAUAUGGGUUCUUGAAUAGCUGCUUCUUGAAAGAAGAAAAGCAAUCUGUGUUUUUGUCUUUGAAAAUAUAUUUCUUCUAUUUUCUUAAGUCUUCUGUAUUGCAAAUGCUUGACUUCUGAGCAAACCAAAAGCGAACAGGGGCUAAAGUAGUUAAACAUGAGAAUGUGUAGAAUUCUUCUGCCUUCUAUACUUUGUAUUAAUGAUUUUUCUCAGCAAAUGCUGAAAAUUUCUAGUAAAGGGAAAAAACAGGAGAAAGAUUAUCUAGUAAAUCUUCUGUUUUUUAAUAAAUUCCUUAUGCAGUAAAAGACUUGCUAGUAUAAUUCCUAUUUGAAGAAUUGGAGGGGAAGAUCAGAAUUAGAAAAUAAAUAAAAUAUUUGAGUAAAGUCAGAUGCAACUAACCUGUAUUCCAUAACUAUGUGAAAUAGGAUUAAAGCAAAGCCUGGAGUUGAGGUUGAAAUAAUUGAUCUAUAUCCUUGAGAUGCCACUGCUAAAUACAUUUAUCUCAUGUGCAAACGUGCAGGAAGACAACAUUGACUUUUUCUAGACAUUUUCAGAUUGCGUCAUCACCAAGAAGACUAAAAUGACAAGCUGCCAAUAAUGCAAACCCAGACUCUUUUUCCUCCUUUGCUCAUUGCCCCAAAUCUUAGAUAAAUGUAUACCCUCUCUGCUCAGACUCACACUCGCCUAGAAUUUUGUAACGUGAACUCCUCCUGGGUCUCUAUGAAGACCACAAGGACACUGCUUUACACACAUUCCAGGUUCUCACCCUAGAAAACUCAAACUUGAAGGAGAAGAGCAGGAUUGAGGUCCCACCUUAAGAGGUAAAGGGAAAGUGGAGAAUCUAAGUCAGUUAGGGCAGGCCAAGGGGAGCAGCCUUUCCUAUCCCAUUGCUUUCACACAACCCCAAGAAAGGCAGUCACUACUAUCAACCAAGGUGUUGAAGUUUUACUGGGCCUUGUGCUAAUUGGUUGAAAUUUGUACCCAAAGGGGUAAAGAGUCCAGAGUACGUGAAGGAGAUGGCUCUUCUGUCUCUCCUCUCUGGUGCAAUUGCUGAAAGGAUAGCGUAGAAAUAAAAUGAUAGAGGGAGUUGUUUUACUUUUGAGAAGUCUAGCUAUUUUGUUGUAUAUCUCCUGAUUAUCCCCCCCCUUCCUACUCUUUGAUUCCCAUACUACCUCCAAAAUAGGAGGGCUCUUGGAGGUUUGCUAUAGAGCUUGAGGAGGAAUGCCUACUUUGAGAAGGCAAAGCAAGUUCAUGGGGCAAAUUUGUUUCACAAGGGAAUUUCUCUGAGAUUUGAAAAUGAAAUCCCAGCUUGGAAUAAAAACACUCUUCACUUGCUUUUCCCCAUGAUUCUCUUUUUCUUGGAAAAAGAGAAGCGGUAGCUCUAGAACAAGUUUAAAUAGUAUAACACUUUUAUUUUAGCUUUCAAAUGAUGAUAAUUGUACUUGACACUUUUUUUUUUAUUAUUGCAAUCUACCAACAUUAUUUGACUCUUUCCUAUGAGCAAAAUACUGAAUUAGGUUCUGAGAGAAUAUAAAAUAAUCCUACGUCUAAUGAAAUUAUAACAUAGUUGGGAAGGUUAAACAUAGAAAUUGAUACAUUAAAUAAAACAAAAUAGUAUUAAUAACUAGCAUAAAAUUAAAAAAAAACAAAACCCCAAAACAUUUCAGUCAUGCUAAGGAAGAUACUUUCUUUUUCCAUUUAGGGUUAUUAAGGAAAGCUUCUAAAAGCGUGGAGUUUGAGCAAAGUCUUGAUGAAUUGUUAAAAUGCCAGAAGUGAAGGUUACUCUAGUGGUUAUUCCUUGUGAUGAGAAUGACAGAGGAAAGGCAGGGAAAAAAUGGAAAAUAAUGGGUAUUCUCAAACUAAGCAUCAGUUUGAGAAUACUUACUACAGUGGUAGGAGUUAGAACUCAAAACCUGGAAUGGGACCAGAGUAUGGAUCCGAGCCCGUUGCAGCUGAUCCUGAAGAAAUCAAGGUCACUCUUGGCUUUGGAGCUGGGAUUCCUACUGAUAAUGUCCAGCCAUUCAUUGGGAAUGGUGUGCUUGCGGCUUCUCCACAGACCAGGACCACAUUCUCCCUGUUACCUAAAAGCAUCCCUUGUGUGACCUUAAAUCUAUCAAAUACUACUUCCAAAAUGGUCGGAUGUAACUUAAAAUGGACCAUGCCUCGUCUAAACCCUUCAGUGUCUCCUUGAUGCUUACGGAAUAAAGGAAACAUGAUUUCCUGUGACUUCCCAGACCCUUCGGGCCUGGGGUCCUCCCCCCGCUUCAGAGUAACGUUUUGCCAUUCUCCACCUGGGAAGUAAAUGAUACUAUUGGGUGAGAAUCUGAAGAAAAUUCUGAAGUGUGAA
This is a non-coding RNA of Sus scrofa (pig), 3119 nucleotides long. The record is from RefSeq and is a predicted model, not a curated record. Lineage: Eukaryota; Metazoa; Chordata; Mammalia; Artiodactyla; Suidae.